UGCGUAGGCGGUGCCCUAAGUCUGUUGUGAAAUCUCCCGGCUCAACUGGGAGGGUGCGGUGGAAACUGGGGUGCUUGAGUGUGGGAGAGGUUAGCGGAAUUCCUGGUGUAGCGGUGAAAUACGUAGAUAUCAGGAGGAACACCGGUGGUGUAGACGGCUAACUGGACCACGACUGACGCUGAGGCACGAAAGCGUGGGUAGCAAACA
Molecule: ribosomal RNA, 207 nt
Filed under: uncultured bacterium
Lineage: Bacteria
Description: partial 16S ribosomal RNA
Rfam family: Bacterial small subunit ribosomal RNA
Source: RNAcentral